AUUUACAUAAUUUAUAAGUAGAAUAUUGCAUUGAAGCUGCAAAAGAGGUUAAAUAAUCUGUAAAUA
RNAcentral lists this transfer RNA (66 nucleotides) under Macromedaeus distinguendus. Its description in RNAcentral is "tRNA-Phe". The record is from RNAcentral. Lineage: Eukaryota; Metazoa; Arthropoda; Malacostraca; Decapoda; Xanthidae.